This 253-nucleotide ribosomal RNA is filed under the name uncultured bacterium. Its description in RNAcentral is "partial 16S ribosomal RNA". It matches the Rfam family "Bacterial small subunit ribosomal RNA", at positions 524 to 776 of the family's 1533-position model. The record is from RNAcentral.
UACGUAGGGUGCGAGCGUUAAUCGGAAUUACUGGGCGUAAAGCGUGCGCAGGCGGCUUUGCAAGUCAGAUGUGAAAUCCCCGGGCUUAACCUGGGAACUGCAUUUGUGACUGCAUGGCUGGAGUGCGGCAGAGGGGGAUGGAAUUCCGCGUGUAGCAGUGAAAUGCGUAGAUAUGCGGAGGAACACCGAUGGCGAAGGCAAUCCCCUGGGCCUGCACUGACGCUCAUGCACGAAAGCGUGGGGAGCAAACAGG